AUUUCUUUAGUAUAUCAGUACAAAUGCCUUCCAAGCAUGAGGCCCCUCUCGGGAAGAGAUA
RNAcentral lists this transfer RNA (61 nucleotides) under Oligodon chinensis (Chinese kukri snake). Its description in RNAcentral is "tRNA-Gly". Lineage: Eukaryota; Metazoa; Chordata; Lepidosauria; Squamata; Colubridae. The record is from RNAcentral.